ACGGGAGUCCGGUGAGCCGGGCUGAGAGGAAGACACCCAGUCUUCGACCGUCGAACCUGAUCUGGAUCAUGCCAGCGCAGGGAGGCUUCCAUCUCGCACCC
Molecule: non-coding RNA, 101 nt
Filed under: Clavibacter nebraskensis NCPPB 2581
Lineage: Bacteria; Bacillati; Actinomycetota; Actinomycetes; Micrococcales; Microbacteriaceae
Description: Clavibacter michiganensis subsp. nebraskensis NCPPB 2581 miscellaneous RNA
Rfam family: TPP riboswitch aptamer (THI element)
About the family: Vitamin B(1) in its active form thiamin pyrophosphate (TPP) is an essential coenzyme that is synthesised by coupling of pyrimidine and thiazole moieties in bacteria. The previously detected thiamin-regulatory element, thi box was extended, resulting in a new, highly conserved RNA secondary structure, the THI element, which is widely distributed in eubacteria and also occurs in some archaea.
Source: RNAcentral